This is a long non-coding RNA of Lactuca sativa (garden lettuce), 843 nucleotides long. RefSeq lists it as uncharacterized. The record is from RefSeq and is a predicted model, not a curated record. NCBI's taxonomy places the organism in Eukaryota, Viridiplantae, Streptophyta, Magnoliopsida, Asterales, Asteraceae.
CAUCAGUCAAACACCUUCUCUCACUCUCAUCUCCGAUUCAUGAGUGACAAUAGCAAAUUUCUGUUUUCUCCCCUCAAUUUCCACCAAUCGCAUCUCCGAUUUUGUGCUUCACAUCUCAUUUUUCAUCUUUCUUGAUGAGCAAACCAAUCGCAUCUCCGACUUGUAUGUGUAAGUUUUCGUUUUUGAAAUCGUUCUGUGUGUAUGAAUCUGAAAUCGUUCUGUGUGUAUGAAUCUGAAAUCGCUGCAUUCGUCGUUUGGGAGGGGCAUAAAUUUGAGAAAGGGGGCGAACGGUAAAGGACGAACUGAGAAAGUGGGACGAAACGAGUCAGGUUUGUUGUCAUGUUCGUCGAUGUAGGGUUUGCAGGGGUGAAGUCGUCGGAGAAGAAGAGGAGAUAGAGGACGGCGGUGGCAGUGAUGGAUUGUGUAUGGGUGAUUUUCGGUGGGGCACAGUUGGCUCAAUCGCUACACAUAUCUAGAAGAUAACUUCACAAAAGAAGAAAACAGGGGUGAUUGCUCCAAAACGCUUUGUACAGAGAUUGAAGAAGCAGAAUGAGAUUUUCCAUAGCUAUAUGCACCAGAAGAAAAUCUAUUAACAUGCCCAAAGGAAAUGGCCAAAAGGAUCAACGAUUUAUGUGAAGUUGAUGCUUGAAGAACGGACAACAAAAUUAAAAGUGUUUUCUUAGCAACAUUAUUCUUUUAGAAUGAAUUAGUGUAUUUGUUAGAUUUUGAUGUUUUUUCCCGAUUUGAAAGUCUUUUAGUUUUAUUCUUUAACAGUAAAUGUAAUUCUUAACAAUUGUUACAUGUAUUCUAUAAGAAUUAAUGUAAUUUUUUUUAAUUCUUCAA